This is a long non-coding RNA of Oncorhynchus gorbuscha (pink salmon), 1297 nucleotides long. RefSeq lists it as uncharacterized. Lineage: Eukaryota; Metazoa; Chordata; Actinopteri; Salmoniformes; Salmonidae. The record is from RefSeq and is a predicted model, not a curated record. The transcript is spliced from 3 exons.
UUGAGAUUUUCAUGAAUAGUUAACGUUGCGUUACGGUAAUGAGCUUGAGGUUAUGAUUACGCUCCCGGAUACGGGAUUGCUCGACGCAAGAAGUUAAUGUAGGCCUAAUAAUGCUAAAAAUAAUGCUUAAAUAAAUUGACUGCUGGUCUUUACUGUAUGCUGCACAUUUUCACAUUGAAUUUAAUUUCCAGCGAGACUAUUCAAGCCAUCGACUCACUCAUGAAUGAAGAUGACGAGCGAUCGGCAAAGGCAAUAUGUAAUCUGUUGGCAUAAUGACACGACAUCGACAUCACUCUAAGAAGACAGCUGAAGAAACUUGCAUGGAUUUGCCAACAUAUAUUUAUUUUUUAUGAUCAGAACAUUAACCAUGUGUGUUCACUUCUUUUGUUCUGUUCUGUAGUUUCGACCCAAUGAUUUGUCUGACAAACAAAGAACUUUGCUUCCUACAGGCCCAGGCAUGGAUUAAAGCUGGCGAGACAUUCAAUAAUGUCAUCUUCACAGACAAAUCAACCCGUGGCCCUUGAGCAAUUUGCUCAAAAUUGCUACAGAAAAAAAGGAAGAAGACCAAACAAGCCGAGUCCCAAGCAUCCGCUCAAACUCCAUGUGUGGGGGUCAAUUUCUCGCCAGGGACCAGGCCCAUAUUUGAUCUUUGAUGGUAUCAUGGCUCGAGAUUUCUUUGAGGAAUAAAGCAUCAAGAGCUAUGCUGGACCCUAUGUCAGAUAGGUGUUUCUGGCUACACAUUGUUUCUUUCAAGACAGGAUUAUAGCAAUAUUUUGUUGUGUUUAGGCCUAUUUACAUGUAUAUUUCAAUUAUUGUACCUAAUUUUGCCUGUUAAGCUAAAUGUAUUUUUUAAUUUUCCAAAUGCAGACAAUGACCCAAAAUACACUGCCGCCCAGGUUUGCAUUGCAAAUGAGGGCAUAAACUGGGUCAAGACGCCAGCAGAGUCUGCCAAGCCGACAAGCAAAGAUGAACUGGUCAAGGCCAUCAAGAUGUUUUGGCUAGAGAAAUUGACAAUACAACAAUGCAACAAAUACGUUGAUCUUCUCAUCAAGGUUUUACCUGUGGUCGUGGAGCUGGGUGGAAGUGCGACUUAAAUGUAGUUUAUAUAAACAUCCGCAUUUGAAAAUCUUUUUUCUCGUUAUAUUAUUUUAUUAACAAAAGCAUAAAGAUGUUGCUGAAUAAAUACUGUACUGCUGUUUUGAGUUAGAAAUGUGACACUUUAGAGUACUUAAGUAUCGAAUACAUUGCAAGUUGGAGGAUUUUCACAACAGUAGCCGGGUUAUAAAAAGUCUAUUGU